AACGAACGCUGGCGGCAGGCCUAACACAUGCAAGUCGAGCGGACCUUUCGGGGUCAGCGGCGGACGGGUGAGUAACGCGUGGGAAUAUGCCCUUCUCUACGGAAUAGCCCUGGGAAACUGGGGGUAAUACCGUAUACGCCCUUUGGGGGAAAGAUUUAUCGGGGAAGGAUUAGCCCGCGUUGGAUUAGGUAGUUGGUGGGGUAAUGGCCUACCAAGCCGACGAUCCAUAGCUGGUUUGAGAGGAUGAUCAGCCACACUGGGACUGAGACACGGCCCAGACUCCUACGGGAGGCAGCAGUGGGGAAUCUUAGACAAUGGGGGCAACCCUGAUCUAGCCAUGCCGCGUGAGUGAUGAAGGCCUUAGGGUUGUAAAGCUCUUUCAGCUGGGAAGAUAAUGACGGUACCAGCAGAAGAAGCCCCGGCUAACUCCGUG
RNAcentral lists this ribosomal RNA (433 nucleotides) under uncultured bacterium. RNAcentral's name for it is "partial 16S ribosomal RNA". It matches the Rfam family "Bacterial small subunit ribosomal RNA", at positions 29 to 507 of the family's 1533-position model. The record is from RNAcentral.